This is a long non-coding RNA of Toxorhynchites rutilus septentrionalis, 1258 nucleotides long. RefSeq lists it as uncharacterized. Lineage: Eukaryota; Metazoa; Arthropoda; Insecta; Diptera; Culicidae. The transcript is spliced from 3 exons. The record is from RefSeq and is a predicted model, not a curated record.
UGAAGUGUAUCCGCGAUGACAACUAUACAAUGUUGACACAAAGGAAAGUGAAGUGGAAGGUAAAACGUAAUGUCAGAAUUGCCGUUCGGACGUAUCCCUUUCGCCGGCACGGUUGAUUGUGGUUAUGAACCAGCACAAAAAAAAGCUGCAAAUUAUGCGCUAGUGGCGGUACCACGAUCAAAGCACUCCCUGAAUCACAUUAGCCGAGCCAGCUGGCGGAAGCAUAUGCAUAAAGGUUACUAGGUUACUAUUUUCAACAACUGUUUUUUUUAUUAUACUGCUUCAAAUACCUUCGACGAAAUCAAAUGUAACCAUACCAACGUAAGUAAUAACAUAAACAAAUCCAAACUUUUCGUCUUGCCAUUCCUCAUACGUAUUUUCUAAAUAGUGUAAAUUACGAGUCACCCGUUAACUACACCAUCUUGAUUGGGUUGACACGCAGACGAGCACUCGUCUGCUCGUCUUGUUUUCUGGAAUAGGGCCCUAUAUUUCUCGCCCUUCUUCUUCUUCUUCUUCUUCUUCUUCAAUGGCACUAACGUUCCUAGAGGAACUUCGCCGUCUCAACGUAGUAUUACUUGCGUAAUUUUUAUUAGUACUUAGUUGAGAUUUCUAAGCCAAAUAACACGCCUUGAAUGCAUUCUGAGUGGCAAGCUCUAGAAUACGCGUGAUCACAGUGCAAGUCGGAGGAAAUUUCUUUGACGAAAAAUUCCCCCGACCAGAACGGGAAUCGAACCCGAACCAAAUUAGCCGGUAUAGAUUGGUUGGCUGGUUUUCGAAAGCACCACCCACAACUCUCUCUUCGUUUCAUCAGAAGCAACCUCCACAGCCAGGGCACAAGGAUUCGAUCGCAUUGCACUCGGGAAAUUCUACGAUUUACUGGAGGACGCACAACAGAAAUACAACAUUCCACCAGUAACUUCAACGUCGACGAGAAUUCAAUGAUUCCAGUGCAGACCAGAAAUUCCAAAGUUCUAGCAAUACGGGGAAAAAGGCAGAAGAGCGCUGUAAUUCUAGCUGAGCGCUGAGUGCUGAACACGGAAUAAAGAUCAUAGAAUCUUCCACAGCAACAUAGGCUAUUAAACGGCAUGUUGCUACUGUCGGCACAAUUCAGUUCCUCUACGGGUGGCGGUGGAUGGAUCCAACGCUAUCGAUGCCACUAGUGGGUACAUAACGGCACAGAUAUAUUUCAUGUUCCUACUUUGAGUAACUAAAAAUUGCACUUUGAUCACAUUGUUAUAUUUUGUACAUGCUAACUGAA